CUGGGCGGUGUAUUAGGCAUGCAAGUCGAGCGGAAAGGCCCCGCAAGGGGUACUCGAGCGGCGAAAGGGAUAGGAACACGUGGAUUACCUGCCCUCUGGACUGGGAUAGCCGCGGGAAACCGCGAUUAAUACCAGAUAACGUCUCCGGACCAAAGGUGUGAUUCCGCCGGAGGAGGGGUCCGCGUCCCAUUAGCUAGUUGGUGAGGUAAUGGCCCACCAAGGCAACGAUGGGUAGCGGGUGUGAGAGCACGACCCGCAUCACUGGGACUGAGAUACUGCCCAGACACCUACGGGUGGCUGCAGUCGAGAAUCUUCGGCAAUGGGCGAAAGCCUGACCGAGCGACGCCGCGUGCGGGAUGAAGGCCUUCGGGUUGUAAACCGCUGUCAGUGGGGAGGAAAUGCUGGAGGGUUCUCCCUUCAGUUUGACCUAUCCGCAGAGGAAGUACGGGCUAAGUUCGUGCCAGCAGCCGCGGUAACACGAACCGUACGAACGUUAUUCGGAAUCACUGGGCUUAAAGGGUGCGUAGGCGGCCUGGUAAGUUGGGUGUGAAAUCCCUCGGCUUAACCGAGGAAUUGCGCUCAAAACUGCCAGGCUAGAGGAAGUCAGAGGUGAGUGGAACUUAGGGUGGAGCGGUGAAAUGCGUUGAUAUCCUAAGGAACACCAGUGGCGAAAGCGACUCACUGGGGCUUUUCUGACGCUGAGGCACGAAAGCUAGGGGAGCGAACGGGAUUAGAUACCCCGGUAGUCCUAGCCGUAAACGAUGAGCACUGGAUCGGAGA
This 780-nucleotide ribosomal RNA is filed under the name uncultured bacterium. RNAcentral describes it as "bacterial SSU rRNA". It matches the Rfam family "Bacterial small subunit ribosomal RNA", at positions 36 to 827 of the family's 1533-position model. The record is from RNAcentral.